Molecule: ribosomal RNA, 331 nt
Filed under: Clostridioides difficile
Lineage: Bacteria; Bacillati; Bacillota; Clostridia; Peptostreptococcales; Peptostreptococcaceae
Description: bacterial LSU rRNA
Rfam family: Bacterial large subunit ribosomal RNA
Source: RNAcentral
CCAAUAAAGUUUUCUUUAUUGGGGUUGAGGACAUACCACAUAUAAGAGGUCAUUAUAGACGAAGAAGUUUGGAAAAACUCAUCAUAGAAGGUAAUAAUCCUGUAGUCAAAAUAAUAAUUCUUUAGGUAUGAUCCAGAGUACCACGGGACACGUGAAACCCUGUGGGAAGCAGGAGGGACCACCCUCCAAGGCUAAAUACUACCUAGUGACCGAUAGCGUAUAGUACCGUGAGGGAAAGGUGAAAAGAACCCCGGGAGGGGAGUGAAAUAGAACCUGAAACCCUGCACUUACAAGCUGUGGAAGCACAUUUCUUGUGUGACCGCGUACUUUU